RNAcentral lists this long non-coding RNA (3896 nucleotides) under Sus scrofa (pig). RNAcentral describes it as "lncRNA (ENSSSCG00025074490.1)". The record is from RNAcentral. Lineage: Eukaryota; Metazoa; Chordata; Mammalia; Artiodactyla; Suidae.
AUGAGAAAAAAAUGGUGGAAAGAGAAACCCGGGCAGAAGCAGCAGGAGCAGCAGAUGGUCCUGCUCCAGCCUCCCGAGGACUGCGAAGGGGCAAAGCACGGACGGAGCCCCCGCAUCUCCUGGAGGUCCUCACCCAGAGGAGGGGGAGAGGAACGGCAGCCAGGGGAAGACGGGAGGGACCCCUGCUGGACCUGUGAUUCCAGAGGACACUUCCCCUGGGCCUCCGCUCCUAGCCAGACCCACCCUCCCAUUUCAUUGAAAGUAGCUACACACAACUUCUCCCCUUCUUUCCACCGUGGCCACUCCACAUCAGCUAACCCUUGGUGCAAAAAUUCACAUUUGUUUGGGACCCUCUAUCAGUCAUCCUUUCAGAGGAUUUGUGAUAGAUCUGUCUUCUGGAAUAUGAGUGUGUGUUCUAUUUGUGUGAUUGGUAUUUUCACUGCCUUUUUUUUUUUUCUUUUCUUUUCUUUUCUUUUUUUAGGGCCGCACCUGCAGCAUAUGGAGGUUCCCAGGCUAGGGGCAAAUCGGAGAUGUAGCUGCCAGCCUACACCACAGCCACUGUAACACAGGACCCAAGCCACGUCUGCAAUCUCUACCACGGCUCACAGCAAUUCUGGAUCCUUAACCCACUGAGCAAGGCCAGGGAUUGAACCCACAACCUCAUGGUUCCUAAUUAGAACUGCACCAUGAUGGGACCUCCUCGNCUGUAACACAGGACCCAAGCCACGUCUGCAAUCUCUACCAUGGCUCACAGCAAUUCUGGAUCCUUAACCCACUGAUCAAGGCCAGGGAUUGAACCCACAACCUCAUGGUUACUAGUUGGAACCGCACCACGAUGGGACCUCCUCACUGCCUUUUAUAAAAUAGGAAUUCAGGUUCAAUUCACUAGAAAAAUUUUACCAUGAAACUAUGACUAAAAAACAAGAAAGAUGGAGUUUCCAUCAUGGCUCAGUGGAAAGGAAUCUGACGAGCAUCCAUGAGGAUGCAGGUUCGAUCCCUGGCCUCACUCAGUGGGUUAAGGACCCAACAUUGCUGUGAGCUGUGCUGUAGGUCAUAGACGUGGCUCAGAUCCCACAUUGCUGUGGCUGUGGCGUACGCCAGCAGCUACAGCUUCGUAGCCUGGGAACCUCCAUAUGCCAUGGGUGCGGCUCUAAAAAGGCAAAAAAAAAAAAAAAAAAAAAGUUGUUUUUUUUUUUUUCUUUAACCUGUGUGGCCAACAACAAUACUCUUAAGACUCUGGAGACAAUUGGUUAAGAUGCAACUCUUUCAAAAUUCCAAAAGUGGAUCUUUCUUUCAUAUGCACUUAGAAAAAAAAAGCUGGUUUGAUAAAAUGCUUUUUUCAAAAUUCUGAUCCUGAGAGAACAAAAAUAUGCCUAGGAGAAGGCUUGAAAUUAACUCUUAUCAUGUCCUUGAAAUACAAACACAGCCCACUUUGCCUGACUUCAGCCGUGGGUUAAUACCAGAACUUCAAGCCAAGGGGAGGGGGUAGGAAGGAGGAAAGAGUCUUUCUACACUGAAGUCUGUAAACUUAACUUAUUCCAACUGUUCCUUAUAGAACAGUAAGUUUCAUACUGAAAUAUUUGACUCAUGAGUAGGUUUUAAAUGAAGCUAUGAGAUCUCGAUGUAUAUACGUCUAGGUGUGAUAUUGUCUACAAAGGGAUAAAAGCUUUUGGGUAAAUGCUCUGGAAAUAAUUAUAUGAUUUAACAAACCAUUCAAUUACUUGUUUCUUGGUUUCANUUUUUUUUUUUUUUUUUUUUUGCUUUUUAGAGCCGUACCCAUGGCAUAUGGAAGUACUCAGGCUGGGGUUGAAUCAGAACUGCCGCUGCUGGCCUACGCCACAGCUGGAUAUACAAUGCAGGAUCCAAGCCAAGUCUGCUGAGCAAGGCCAAGGAUCGAACCCACAUCCUCAUGUAUACUAGUCGGAUUCGUUUCCACAUCACAAUGGGAACUAUGUCGUUCAGCCUUUUGAAGGUUAAACAUUAUAAUAUGUAUUUAAAACUACUAGAAAAGAUAAAGCAUUUAUUUGUAAAACAAGUAGGAUAUGUAUUGUCGGGGAGAGAAGGUAUAAAGAAUGGAAAUAUUUUUUUGAGGGAUAAAAGGAGUUUAAUUUCAUCCUAGAGCUGGUUGUUUCUAGAUGGGUAAAAAAAAAAAUAGUAUUAACUAAUAUAGAUACAGAAGUGAUUUUUUUUAAGGUUUUUUAAAAAAGGAACCUUGAGAAAAGAACGUUGUACGUUGUUAAGACUGAUGAAGAUUAGAUUGGAUUAAAUUAGGUAAACGAAUGUUUUUUUUUUCUAGGGCUGCACCCGCAGCAUGUGGAAGUUCCCAGGCUAGGGGUCGAAUUGGAGUUACAACUGCCGGCCUACACCACAGCCACAGGAACGCAGGAUCCGAGCCAUGUCUGCGACCUACACCACAGCUCAGAGCAACACUGGAUCCCCCACCCACUGAGCAAGCCCAGGGAUUGCACAUCCUCACAGAUACUAGUCGGAUUCAUUUCUGCUGCACCACGAUAGGAACUCUGAAUUUUAUUAUUAAUAUUAAGCCAAUACAAGACUGGGAUUUAGUUUUCUCUCUGUGUUAAGAGAACAACCUUUUCUGGAAGAGAGACCUGCAUUUGAUAGCAAAUGGUAAGUUUCUCGCUCUAGCUAAUUUCGAGCUUUCCACAGAGCCCCCGAGGCAUCUCAAAGAGAAAAACUGGUAGGACAUUUAAAGAGUUCUAAUGGAAAGUUAUUGUUUUGCUCCUAAUCGGUUUUUUUUGUUUGUUUGUUUUGGUUUUUGCCUUUUCUUGAGCCACUUCCACCGCCUAUGGAGUUUCCCAGGCUAGGAGUCUAAUUGGAGCUGUAGCCACCAGCCUACAACAGGGUCACAGCAACUCGGGAUCCGAGCCGAGUCUGCGACCCACACCACAGCUCACGACAACGCUGGAUCCUUAACCCACUGAGCAAGGCCAGGGAUCGAACCUGCAACCUCAUGGUUCCUAGUCGGAUUCGUUAACCACUGCGCCACGACAGGUACUCCUCCUAACCGUAUUUUUGACUGCAAUGUUCAGGAUGGAAAAAACUGCCUAGUGACGUUGUCACGGAGUAUAAGUACUCAUGAUGUGCAUCACGCUGGCUUUACGUUUACCCUUUGAAGCCCACGUUCCACGGUUGUGUGACAAUUGGGUAUAAUAGAUAAAAUACAUAGCCUAUAAAAUAUUUCUCUGUUAGCACCUCUGUGCUUCUUUAUGUCUGAUUAGUUUUCCCCCAGCAUGGACAACUACGCCCGUGUAUAAACAAAAAGUAGGCUUAGCACUGAGGGACGGGAAUGAUUCGUUUCUCGCGUCUGCGUUCUACUCGCCUGGAACAGAAGAGGCACAAACUGAGAACUGCCUUCAGAUCUCAAACGCUUAACACUGUGCUCUACUGCCCUCUAGUGGAAGAUCUGGUACUUAACAUAAUCAUUGAGUCUCCACUGAUUGGGCGGAAGGAGAGGUGUGAAAACGGCCACCAGGGCACCAGCUACCGUGUGGAAGAACAUCAGGAUGCGGAAAGGGGGAUCCGGAUGCGGAAAAGGGGUGUCUGGAGUACCUAGAAGAGGAGGAAUCCUGAUCGUUCCCUCUACCGCCUAGCUCAGGACUCUGACCACCUCUUUCGUAAGAACUGAAAGUUGAUAUCCGUCGAGUCGACGGAAUAACCAGUUUCUCACCUAAAUUUCUGGUUACAUCAGCUGCCUUGUAAACAUAUUGAUCGAAUACCCACAGAGUGCGGGGCAGGGUUCUGUCUCUCCUGAUCAGGACAAACAAGAUCUUUGCUCUCAGAGAUUUGCGUUCCAACGGAAGAAGGAGGGAAGGGGGGUGGGGAAGGAGAAAAUGAGCACAAGUAAGAAAUAAAUUAAUACUGCUGUACCCCUGGCA